AGAGUUUGAUCAUGGCUCAGAGCGAACGCUGGCGGCAGGCUUAACACAUGCAAGUCGAGCGGGCGUAGCAAUACGUCAGCGGCAGACGGGUGAGUAACGCGUGGGAACAUACCUUUUGGUUCGGAACAACACAGGGAAACUUGUGCUAAUACCGGAUAAGCCCUUACGGGGAAAGAUUUAUCGCCGAAAGAUUGGCCCGCGUCUGAUUAGCUAGUUGGUGAGGUAACGGCUCACCAAGGCGACGAUCAGUAGCUGGUCUGAGAGGAUGAUCAGCCACAUUGGGACUGAGACACGGCCCAAACUCCUACGGGAGGCAGCAGUGGGGAAUAUUGGACAAUGGGCGCAAGCCUGAUCCAGCCAUGCCGCGUGAGUGAUGAAGGCCCUAGGGUUGUAAAGCUCUUUUGUGCGGGAAGAUAAUGACGGUACCGCAAGAAUAAGCCCCGGCUAACUUCGUGCCAGCAGCCGCGGUAAUACGAAGGGGGCUAGCGUUGCUCGGAAUCACUGGGCGUAAAGGGUGCGUAGGCGGGUCUUUAAGUCAGGGGUGAAAUCCUGGAGCUCAACUCCAGAACUGCCUUUGAUACUGAAGAUCUUGAGUUCGGGAGAGGUGAGUGGAACUGCGAGUGUAGAGGUGAAAUUCGUAGAUAUUCGCAAGAACACCAGUGGCGAAGCGGCUCACUGGCCGAUACUGACGCUGAGGCACGAAAGCGGUGGGGAGCAAACAGGAUUAGAUACCCUGGUAGUCCACGUCGUAACGAUGAUGCAGCGUUAGUGGGAUUACUCACUAGUGGCGCAGCUACGCUUUA
This 803-nucleotide ribosomal RNA is filed under the name uncultured bacterium. RNAcentral's name for it is "bacterial SSU rRNA". It matches the Rfam family "Bacterial small subunit ribosomal RNA", at positions 8 to 862 of the family's 1533-position model. The record is from RNAcentral.